This 204-nucleotide ribosomal RNA is filed under the name uncultured bacterium. Its description in RNAcentral is "partial 16S ribosomal RNA". It matches the Rfam family "Bacterial small subunit ribosomal RNA", at positions 524 to 723 of the family's 1533-position model. The record is from RNAcentral.
GACAGAGGUCCCGAGCGUUAGGCGGAAUCACUGGGCUUAAAGCGUGUGUAGGCGGAUUUGUAAGUACCUUGUGAAAUCCCACGGCUUAACCUGGAACUGCUGGGUAUACUGCAAUCUUGGGCCCUCUAGGGGGCUAGCGGAACAAAACGGUGGAGCGGUGAAAAUGCGUAGAUAUCGUUUUGGAACGCCAAUGGUGAAAAAACA